This 624-nucleotide ribosomal RNA is filed under the name Lactobacillaceae bacterium 1_5_1CO2. RNAcentral's name for it is "bacterial SSU rRNA". It matches the Rfam family "Bacterial small subunit ribosomal RNA", at positions 793 to 1417 of the family's 1533-position model. Lineage: Bacteria; Bacillati; Bacillota; Bacilli; Lactobacillales; Lactobacillaceae. The record is from RNAcentral.
GUCCAUGCCGUAAACGAUGAAUACUAGGUGUUGGAGGGUUUCCGCCCUUCAGUGCCGCAGCUAACGCAUUAAGUAUUCCGCCUGGGGAGUACGACCGCAAGGUUGAAACUCAAAGGAAUUGACGGGGGCCCGCACAAGUGGUGGAGCAUGUGGUUUAAUUCGAUGCUACGCGAAGAACCUUACCAGCUCUUGACAUCUUCUGCCAACCCAAGAGAUUGGGCGUUCCCUUCGGGGACAGAAUGACAGGUGGUGCAUGGUUGUCGUCAGCUCGUGUCGUGAGAUGUUGGGUUAAGUCCCGCAACGAGCGCAACCCUUAUUAUUAGUUGCCAGCAUUUAGUUGGGCACUCUAGUGAGACUGCCGGUGAUAAACCGGAGGAAGGUGGGGACGACGUCAAAUCAUCAUGCCCCUUAUGAGCUGGGCUACACACGUGCUACAAUGGAUGGUACAACGAGUCGCGAAACCGCGAGGUCAAGCUAAUCUCUUAAAGCCAUUCUCAGUUCGGAUUGCAGGCUGCAACUCGCCUGCAUGAAGUUGGAAUCACUAGUAAUCGUGGAUCAGCAUGCCACGGUGAAUACGUUCCCGGGCCUUGUACACACCGCCCGUCACACCAUGAGAGUUUGUAA